UAAUUUUUAAUGGUUGAUAUCUGCCGUUUUCAAGUUUAGCGGUGUAGAAGUAUUCAAAUCAGAUAAAAUUUUGAUACAAAAUUCUUUAUACUAUCUAUAACAAGAUAAAUAUUUCUGAUCGAAAAUUUUAGUGCUAUAUCAUCACUUUUUAUAGGAUUUUUAUUUUCAGCCGUUAAAAAUUAUUGAUUUUGAAUCCUUUCGAUUGCUAGGUAAAUGAUAUCGAAAAAUUGCAAAAAUUAUUUUCUAGAAACUUCAAAUUCGCUAGAUCAAGUUUAACGGAGCCGAUCGUCGAUUCGGAAACUCCAUCAUAGUAAACUGCUCAAGAGCACGGAGGCCUCCGUGCUCC
RNAcentral lists this long non-coding RNA (346 nucleotides) under Ananas comosus (pineapple). Its description in RNAcentral is "long non-coding RNA (ACOM_LNC029541)". The record is from RNAcentral. Lineage: Eukaryota; Viridiplantae; Streptophyta; Magnoliopsida; Poales; Bromeliaceae.